GAGUUUGAUCGUGGCUCAGGACGAACGCUGGCGGCGUGCUUAACACAUGCAAGUCGAGCGAUCGGCCAGGGAGGGGUAACCCUCCUUGGUACGGAGCGGCGAACGGGGUGAGUAACACGUGGGCAACCUGCCCCAGGCUCUGGAAUAACCCCGGGAAACCGGGCUAAUGCCGGAUACUCUCGGAACCCCGCAUGGGGAUCCGAGGAAAGCUCCGACGGCCUGGGAUGGGCCCGCGGCCUAUCAGCUUGUUGGCGGGGUAACGGCCCACCAAGGCGACGACGGGUAGCUGGCGUGAGAGCGUGACCAGCCACACUGGGACUGAGACACGGCCCAGACUCCUACGGGAGGCAGCAGUGGGGAAUCUUGCACAAUGGGCGAAAGCCUGAUGCAGCGACGCCGCGUGAGGGAUGAAGGCUCUCGGGUUGUAAACCUCUUUCGGCAGGGAAGAAGCGAAAGUGACGGUACCUGCAGAAGAAGUCCCGGCCAACUACGUGCCAGCCGCCGCAGU
RNAcentral lists this ribosomal RNA (508 nucleotides) under uncultured bacterium. RNAcentral's name for it is "bacterial SSU rRNA". It matches the Rfam family "Bacterial small subunit ribosomal RNA", at positions 9 to 521 of the family's 1533-position model. The record is from RNAcentral.